RNAcentral lists this ribosomal RNA (465 nucleotides) under uncultured bacterium. Its description in RNAcentral is "partial 16S ribosomal RNA". It matches the Rfam family "Bacterial small subunit ribosomal RNA", at positions 338 to 795 of the family's 1533-position model. The record is from RNAcentral.
CCUACGGGCGGCAGCAGUGGGGAAUAUUGCGCAAUGGGCGAAAGCCUGACGCAGCGACGCCGCGUGAGGGAUGAAGGUCUUCGGAUCGUAAACCUCUGUCAGCAGGGAAGAACGGUCACUGUGCUAAUCAGCAGUGAAUUGACGGUACCUGCAAAGGAAGCACCGGCUAACUCCGUGCCAGCAGCCGCGGUAAUACGGAGGGUGCGAGCGUUAAUCGGAAUUACUGGGCGUAAAGCGCUCGUAGGCGGUAUGUCAAGUCAAGGGUGAAAUCCCCGCGCUCAACGUGGGAACUGCCUUUGAAACUGGCAAACUGGAGUGUGUGAGAGGAUAGUGGAAUUCCAGGUGUAGCAGUGAAAUGCGUAGAUAUCUGGAGGAACAUCAGUGGCGAAGGCGACUAUCUGGCACAUAACUGACGCUGAGGAGCGAAAGCGUGGGUAGCAAACAGGAUUAGAUACCCUAGUAGUC